GCAAACUUGGUCAUUUAGAGGAAGUAAAAGUCGUAACAAGGUUUCCGUAGGUGAACCUGCGGAAGGAUCAUUAAAGAUGACUCCCCGGGGUGGACUCGGCUGUAGCUGGCUGGCUUUCUGAGCCGGCACGUGCACGUCGUCCGCUCUGGAACAUCCCCCACACACACCCAUUUGUGCACCUGGAGAAGGACGCGAGCAGGUCCACCCUGCCUCUGCGCCCUUCGCGAAUCCUGAAUCCACGUCUCAUGUCUGUAUGUCUCUGGCGCUCAGUCGCCCUUGAAUACAAAGUUUCAACAACGGAUCUCUUGGCUCUCGCAUCGAUGAAGAACGCAGC
This 334-nucleotide unclassified non-coding RNA is filed under the name uncultured fungus. Its description in RNAcentral is "partial contains small subunit ribosomal RNA, internal transcribed spacer 1, and 5.8S ribosomal RNA". The stretch from base 1 to 73 matches the Rfam family "Eukaryotic small subunit ribosomal RNA", at positions 1759 to 1831 of the family's 1831-position model. Lineage: Eukaryota; Fungi. The record is from RNAcentral.